UCGUCUUUCCAUCCAUUCCUAACAGUACCGCUUCUCAAUUCUCUGCAACAAUUCUCUGCGUCCCUUGCCGCUACUGCUCUCUCCAUCGCUAACUCAUGCUUCUCUGUCACAAUCCUCUGCGUAAUCUCUCUCUGCCAUGAGAGGAUGGUGAGGAUACUAUGGCAACAUCGGAACGUUGAUGACUACAACGAUCCAGUUGCGUUGAAAGGAGGAAUAUAUUUGAUGCAACUGCACGUUGUUUGAGAUCCAUCAUGAACAAGGAUGUCCUUCUGCCUUUUAAGGUUGGACAAUUGGCUGAAUCAAGAUCAUUUCAGAUAGGGUAUCGUGGUGCAUGGUUCCGAUGCAAGAUAAAAGAGAUUGACCGGAGACACGGGCAUAUUGGGCAUGUCUUGGAAUUUGUUGAUUUUCCUGAUGAAAAAAUAAAAUGGACAAGGUUAUAUCAAUAUCCCCCAACUAAUGUUAGGAAGUCAAAGGGAAUAAAUAGGCAACUGAUGGUGCGUCCACAGUAUCCUCCUAUCAUUUAUCGUGAGAGUGAAAUUCCUAAUGUCAAAACCGAUUCAGAAGUGGCAGUUGUCAUUGAUGGUGCCUGGAAAGUAGGGGACUUAAUUGAUUGGUGGACCUCUGAUUCUUAUUGGUGUGGACGAGUGACUAAAAUUUUGGGCAAUGACAAGGUUAAGAUUUAUUUGCUACCGCGUCCUCUGGGUGAAGGUUUAUCAUAUGAAGUUUUCUGCAAGGAUCUACGCCCAUCCUUGGAUUGGUCUCCAGAAUGUGGUUGGACAGUGCCUAUUCCAUUGGAUGGUGAAAAUUUUCGUCCUUUUGCUCGGCUUAUUCAGCUGGUGAAUCAAGAGAAAUCAUUACCUGCUCUGGAUGAAGCAAAGCUGUCUGUACCGAGGGGUGUGCUGAAACAACCAUUGAGCAUCACUGUUUCCAAGGAGGCGAUGCACAUGCCAGAAACAAAUUUGGAAACUGAAGGGCAUGCUGGGGAAGGCCUGUAUUAUCGCGAGGAGUCGUCAAAGAAGAUGAGAACUGGUGGAAGCAUUUCCUUAAAUUCUAUGUGCUCUGACACUUUAGAAGCUGCAAUUAUGGAUUUGGAGGAACUUGCAAACAGGGUCAAAUGGCUUAGGAGCAUGCUAGAAUUUGGAAUUCCUUUGUCCAAUGCUGUGAGACCUCCAUGGAAGUUUGUGGAACACCAUGCAUCAUCAGCACCAAAAUGAGUGAUUAAAUAAGUGCCUCCAGCAACAUCUUGGAUCUCUGGUCAAGCAAGUAUUAUUUCUCCUCUUGUUAGUAUUCAUAAACAUUUGGCGGUGGUGUUGGUGUUGGUUGGAUUACUGAUUUGAAUGAAGAGAUUACUUGAUGCGGCAUAGUCUACUGAACCAUGUUCCAAUUGAGCAUGGGGAGAACCUUACAGAUGUAUCAUGAUUCUGAUUGAAAAGCAUGUUACUUUGUGUACCUACUUCUGUGUAGUCUGUGCCUUGAGUGCUCUAUUUCAGCCUGGUAUCAGUUCCUUUUUCAUUAUUAUUAUUAUUUUUCUUUUAAAAUUUUCUUUUAUAAGCUCCACGUAUCAAUUUGAAAAAUUGUAUGUAUUUCGGGUUCACUCUAAAAUCGCUACGCUGGACAUCUGUUGAAUUUUAUGGUGCCAUUUUAGCACGAAGUUGUAAAAUAAUGUGACCUGAGCGUUUCAAAUA
Cornus florida is the source of this 1685-nucleotide RNA transcript. RefSeq lists it as uncharacterized. NCBI's taxonomy places the organism in Eukaryota, Viridiplantae, Streptophyta, Magnoliopsida, Cornales, Cornaceae. The transcript is spliced from 9 exons. The record is from RefSeq and is a predicted model, not a curated record.